UACGUAGGGGGCAAGCGUUGUCCGGAUUUAUUGGGCGUAAAGAGCGUGUAGGCGGCCGCACAGGUCCGUUGUGAAAACUGGAGGCUUAACCUUCAGACGUCGAUGGAAACCGUCUGGCUAGAGUCCGGAAGAGGAGAGUGGAAUUCCUGGUGUAGCGGUGAAAUGCGCAGAUAUCAGGAAGAACACCCGUGGCGAAAGCGGCUCUCUGGGACGGUACUGACGCUGAGACGCGAAAGCGUGGGGAGCGAACAGG
This 253-nucleotide ribosomal RNA is filed under the name uncultured bacterium. RNAcentral describes it as "partial 16S ribosomal RNA". It matches the Rfam family "Bacterial small subunit ribosomal RNA", at positions 524 to 776 of the family's 1533-position model. The record is from RNAcentral.